Unclassified non-coding RNA from Erinaceus europaeus (western European hedgehog), 316 nucleotides. Its record names the gene 7SK. It matches the Rfam family "7SK RNA". From Rfam's summary of the family: 7SK was discovered as an abundant small nuclear RNA in the mid-70s but a possible function has only recently been suggested. Two independent studies have found that 7SK RNA binds the CDK9/cyclin T complex (known as elongation factor P-TEFb). P-TEFb activates transcription by phosphorylating the C-terminal domain of RNA polymerase II. NCBI's taxonomy places the organism in Eukaryota, Metazoa, Chordata, Mammalia, Eulipotyphla, Erinaceidae. The record is from Ensembl.
GGAUGUAAGGGUGAUCUGGCUGUGACAUCUGUCACCCCAUUGAUUGCCAGGAUUGACUCAGUUGCUAGGGCUGGCUAGGUGGGUGUUCUCUUCUGCCUUCACCACUCCGUGUGUGUUCUUCCCAAAGUGGUGUGCUUGGAUGAAGAGUUUAGCAUUUCCCCAGCAGAGACAGACCAAUCUUUGGUCAAGGGUAUACGGGUAGCUGUGCUCCCCUGCUAGAGGCUCCAAAUUAGCUCUGAAAGUUCCCAGAUACUUAAAUCCAUCUCUAAAACAUUAAAAAAAAUCAAUUUAUUUACUGGAUAGAGAAAGAGAAAUU